CGGCGGACGGGUGAGUAACACGUGGAUAACCUACCUAUAAGACUGGGAUAACUUCGGGAAACCGGAGCUAAUACCGGAUAAUAUAUUGAACCGCAUGGUUCAAUAGUGAAAGACGGUUUUGCUGUCACUUAUAGAUGGAUCCGCGCUGCAUUAGCUAGUUGGUAAGGUAACGGCUUACCAAGGCAACGAUGCGUAGCCGACCUGAGGGGGUGAUCGGCCACACUGGAACUGAGACACGGUCCAGACUCCUACGGGAGGCAGCAGAC
Molecule: ribosomal RNA, 266 nt
Filed under: uncultured Staphylococcus sp.
Lineage: Bacteria; Bacillati; Bacillota; Bacilli; Caryophanales; Staphylococcaceae
Description: partial 16S ribosomal RNA
Rfam family: Bacterial small subunit ribosomal RNA
Source: RNAcentral